UUGAAAUUUCAAAUUCCAGUUUGUGGACAAAGUCCUGUCUAUCUGAGAAUAUAGAUCUCCGACCACUGACCAAACUCCAUUCCAAGCAACUACCUAGUUAUGCUUUUUCCCUGCCUCGCAGUCUCUUCUGUUCACUCGUUGGGUCUGCUGGGAUCGUACUGAAACUCUCACCAGAACGGUUGCGCACAUACAAAGUGGAUUUCCACAUUUUCGUCUUAAUCUAACAGCUUCCUUUCAAAGUUGGGAAUGGGGAAGAAGAUGCUGAUCAUCUGUAAUAAACCAGGAAGCAUGGCAAAAACUCACCAUAUACUCCAUGUUGGCAGCUGGCGGAGACACCUGUGCCCGUACUUGGUUGUGGUAGUCCAAAAGAGCGCUCAUGUCCCGCGGAGAGAUGUAUCGCUUUCGGCGACUCCUCGGCACCCCGAGGCCGGACACCAAGCCAGCCUGCGGGCUGCUGGAGGGGUGCAGGAGCUCGGUGGCAUUGGGCAGCACAAAAGAGGUUGAUUUCGGUAUAAUCCAGAAGACCAAGCCAGUGAAAUACAGUAGAUGCACCUUCUCACAUCAGUGAAAGACAUUCCCCAAAGAAGCUGAGAGGACAUUUCCCAGACUACAUACCUUGAGGACUGAGCCAAGAACAGCUGAGAAAUGUUAGCUGCUGCAGCAACAGCCUGGGAGCUUGAC
Molecule: long non-coding RNA, 681 nt
Organism: Chrysemys picta bellii (western painted turtle)
Lineage: Eukaryota; Metazoa; Chordata; Testudines; Emydidae
Source: RefSeq, a predicted model, not a curated record